UAGGGAAUCUUCCGCAAUGGACGCAAGUCUGACGGAGCAACGCCGCGUGAGUGAAGAAGGAUUUCGGUUCGUAAAACUCUGUUGUUAGAGAAGAACAGCGCAUAGAGUAACUGUUAUGCGUGUGACGGUAUCUAACCAGAAAGCCACGGCUAACUACGUGCCAGCAGCCGCGGUAAUACGUAGGUGGCAAGCGUUGUCCGGAUUUAUUGGGCGUAAAGCGAGCGCAGGCGGUCAAUUAAGUCUGAUGUGAAAGCCCCCGGCUCAACCGGGGAGGGUCAUUGGAAACUGGAAAACUUGAGUGCAGAAGAGGAAAGUGGAAUUCCAUGUGUGGCGGUGAAAUGCGCAGAGAUAUGGAGGAACACCAGUGGCGAAGGCGACUUUCUGGUCUGUAACUGACGCUGAUGUGCGAAAGCGUGGGAAUCAAACAGG
Molecule: ribosomal RNA, 429 nt
Filed under: Bacteroidota bacterium
Lineage: Bacteria; Pseudomonadati; Bacteroidota
Description: Bacteroidetes bacterium partial 16S ribosomal RNA
Rfam family: Bacterial small subunit ribosomal RNA
Source: RNAcentral